Molecule: RNase P RNA, 451 nt
Filed under: Pelomonas sp. Root1217
Lineage: Bacteria; Pseudomonadati; Pseudomonadota; Betaproteobacteria; Burkholderiales; Sphaerotilaceae
Description: bacterial RNase P
Rfam family: Bacterial RNase P class A
About the family: Ribonuclease P (RNase P) is a ubiquitous endoribonuclease, found in archaea, bacteria and eukarya as well as chloroplasts and mitochondria.
Source: RNAcentral
GAAGCAAGCCAGACCGCCGCUGGGGCAAGCAUGGAAACAUGGCCCUGGAGGAAGGUCCGGACUGCAUAGAGCGGCGUAGCAGCUAACGGCUGCCCGGCGAGAGCCGAGGAUCAGAGCAACAGAGACGAGUCGGUCGUCCGGACCUGCGAAGGGGCGAAAGCCACUUCGCAAAGGUUCCUUCCUGUGGAGAGCGUGCUCUUCGCGGGAAGCGAGGGACGGGCAGGGCGCAAGCCCUGCGGGAUCGGUGACGCAGUCACCGAGACCGGGUGCAACGGGCAAUCUCUACGCGCAGCAACACCAAGUAGGCCAGCGUUGAUGCGGCUCGCAGAGCUGGCGGGUAGGUGGCACCGAGCCGGGCAGUGAUGCCCGGCCCAGAGGAAUGGCGGUCACGCCGUCCGAACCGCAAGGGGAGGGCGGUGCACAGAAUCCGGCCUAUCGGCUUGCUUCACUC